UACGAAGGGGGCUAGCGUUGCUCGGAAUUACUGGGCGUAAAGCGCACGUAGGCGGCUCUUUAAGUCGGGGGUGAAAUCCUGGAGCUCAACUCCAGAACUGCCUUCGAUACUGAAGAGCUUGAGUCCGGGAGAGGUGAGUGGAACUGCGAGUGUAGAGGUGAAAUUCGUAGAUAUUCGCAAGAACACCAGUGGCGAAGGCAGCACUCUGGGACGUGACUGACGCUGAGACGCGAAAGCGUGGGGAGCAAACGGG
Molecule: ribosomal RNA, 253 nt
Filed under: uncultured bacterium
Lineage: Bacteria
Description: partial 16S ribosomal RNA
Rfam family: Bacterial small subunit ribosomal RNA
Source: RNAcentral